This 504-nucleotide ribosomal RNA is filed under the name soil fungal sp. DM2-235. RNAcentral's name for it is "eukaryotic LSU rRNA". It matches the Rfam family "Eukaryotic large subunit ribosomal RNA", at positions 186 to 711 of the family's 3401-position model. The record is from RNAcentral. Lineage: Eukaryota; Fungi.
UUCCCUGGAACGGGACGCCCCAGAGGGUGAGAGCCCCGUCUGGCUGGCCGCCGAGCCUCUUUAAAGCUCCUUCGACGAGUCGAGUAGUUUGGGAAUGCUGCUGGAGAGGGGAGGUAUAUGUCUUCUAAAGCUAAAUAUUGGCCAGAGACCGAUAGCGCACAAGUAGAGUGAUCGAAAGAUGAAAAGCACCUUGAAAAGAGGGUUAAAUAGUACGUGAAAUUGUUGAAAGGGAAGCGCUUGUGACCAGACUUGGGCGCGGCGGAUCAUCCGGGGUUCUCUCCUGUGCACUUCGCCGCGUCUAGGCCAGCAUCANUUCGUCGCGGGGGAAAAAGGCUUCGGGAACGUGGCUCCNCCGGGAGUGUUAUAGCCCGUUGCAUAANACCCUGCGGUGGACUGAGGACCGCGCAUCUNCNAGGAUGCUGGCGUAAUGGUCACCAGCGACCCGUCUUGAAACACGGACCAAGGAGUCNUCUUCCUAUGCGAGUGUUCGGGUGUCAAACCCCU